RNAcentral lists this ribosomal RNA (674 nucleotides) under Escherichia coli. RNAcentral's name for it is "partial 23S ribosomal RNA". It matches the Rfam family "Bacterial large subunit ribosomal RNA", at positions 2261 to 2925 of the family's 2925-position model. The record is from RNAcentral. Lineage: Bacteria; Pseudomonadati; Pseudomonadota; Gammaproteobacteria; Enterobacterales; Enterobacteriaceae.
GUGGGUAGUUUGACUGGGGCGGUCUCCUCCUAAAGAGUAACGGAGGAGCACGAAGGUUGGCUAAUCCUGGUCGGACAUCAGGAGGUUAGUGCAAUGGCAUAAGCCAGCUUGACUGCGAGCGUGACGGCGCGAGCAGGUGCGAAAGCAGGUCAUAGUGAUCCGGUGGUUCUGAAUGGAAGGGCCAUCGCUCAACGGAUAAAAGGUACUCCGGGGAUAACAGGCUGAUACCGCCCAAGAGUUCAUAUCGACGGCGGUGUUUGGCACCUCGAUGUCGGCUCAUCACAUCCUGGGGCUGAAGUAGGUCCCAAGGGUAUGGCUGUUCGCCAUUUAAAGUGGUACGCGAGCUGGGUUUAGAACGUCGUGAGACAGUUCGGUCCCUAUCUGCCGUGGGCGCUGGAGAACUGAGGGGGGCUGCUCCUAGUACGAGAGGACCGGAGUGGACGCAUCACUGGUGUUCGGGUUGUCAUGCCAAUGGCACUGCCCGGUAGCUAAAUGCGGAAGAGAUAAGUGCUGAAAGCAUCUAAGCACGAAACUUGCCCCGAGAUGAGUUCUCCCUGACUCCUUGAGAGUCCUGAAGGAACGUUGAAGACGACGACGUUGAUAGGCCGGGUGUGUAAGCGCAGCGAUGCGUUGAGCUAACCGGUACUAAUGAACCGUGAGGCUUAACCUUACAA